Long non-coding RNA from Echinops telfairi (small Madagascar hedgehog), 204 nucleotides. RefSeq lists it as uncharacterized. Lineage: Eukaryota; Metazoa; Chordata; Mammalia; Afrosoricida; Tenrecidae. The record is from RefSeq and is a predicted model, not a curated record. The transcript has 2 exons.
AAAAUUAUCUCGUUCCCACUUAAUAUACUGUAGUCCUUGAUCAAACAUCAGAUAUUUGCAGAUCUGACUACGUUUUCCAGGACUAUAUUAAAUAAAAAUGGUAAUAAAAAGUAACCCUAUCUAUUUCCUGUUCAAAAGAGGAAUGUAUUCAAUUUGUUUCCAUUGAGUGAGAAGUUGGCCACUUCAAAUAUAUGAUCUUUAUUA